Molecule: ribosomal RNA, 395 nt
Filed under: uncultured bacterium
Lineage: Bacteria
Description: bacterial SSU rRNA
Rfam family: Bacterial small subunit ribosomal RNA
Source: RNAcentral
GUGUCAGCCGCCGCGGUAAUACGGAGGGUGCAAGCGUUGUUCGGAAUUACUGGGCGUAAAGCGCGUGCAGGCGGUUGAGCAAGUCAGAUGUGAAAGCCUUCCGCUUAACGGAAGAAGUGCAUUUGAAACUACUCGGCUAGAGUUCGAGAGAGGAGAGUGGAAUUCCCGGUGUAGAGGUGAAAUUCGUAGAUAUCGGGAGGAACACCGGUGGCGAAGGCGGCUCUCUGGCUCGAUACUGACGCUGAGACGCGAAAGCGUGGGGAGCAAACAGGAUUAGAUACCCUGGUAGUCCACGCCGUAAACGAUGGGCACUAGGUGUAGGAGGUAUUGACCCCUUCUGUGCCGAAGCUAACGCAUUAAGUGCCCCGCCUGGGGAGUACGGCCGCAAGGCUAAA